This is a long non-coding RNA of Vigna unguiculata (cowpea), 2677 nucleotides long. NCBI's taxonomy places the organism in Eukaryota, Viridiplantae, Streptophyta, Magnoliopsida, Fabales, Fabaceae. The record is from RefSeq and is a predicted model, not a curated record.
UCGAACAAAUAAUCUCUCGUCUCUUCUCUCCUUUUUCUCUAUUUGUUUUGCUCUCUCUUCCCUUCUCAUCUUUUUUUAGAUCCUCCUCAAAACCUUUUUUCCUUCCUUAUAGUCUUUUCCCGUCUCCCCCACACUUCAGAACUGCUUCCUAUCUUCCUGUCACCAUUCUUUCCAACAUAUGCCUUUAAUCUUAUGGCAAUUUGCGGGAUAUGGGCCUACUAUGGGCCGGCUCCGACCCAAGUUCUCAGACUCCGACUUAUUCGACCUAUUUGGCUGAUCUGACCUUACCGACCUAUCAACCAAAUCUUUUGAGAUCGGAUUCCGACCCUGCGCCAUGGACAAUACACAGCCCUCCCACUCUUUGCUGAACUAGUGAGGCUAAGAGUGGAUAUCCCUUCUGUAGUACAUGGUAUUCCUUAUUACUUGCCACGUGUCGCGCAUCAGGCGUAGCGUUUUAAAGAUGACCUUUUGUCUAGCCCGCGCUCAGAAAUGUCGUUUCAUUCUAACCUACCCCGCUACGUGUUGCGCAUCAAUGGCAUAUGCGUUGACACCUCCUAAGAUCAAUGGCUGGAUUUAAUUUGCUUUAAAGGAACCACUCCUAACUGUCCUUCUUCUUCCCAGGAAGCUUUACCCCAAAAACUUCUUUCUCUUUUUUACCACUCCGUCGCCCGGUCGUGAAUUUCUUUUAGCAGCCUUUCUUCAGACAUUUCCGUGAUCAUUCUCACUUCAGAGCGCUCAAGGUAUGCUUGAUUAAAUUUGAGAAGUAAUGUUGACUAUUCUUUGCUCACUUGAAUGCGAAUGCGUCUAUAAAAGUUUUUAUUGAAGUAUUCGCUUUCCUGCUUUUCGGAGAGAUUUAUGAAAGAAAGGCAUUAUUUCAUCUCUUGGUUGGUGACUGGAAAUCUUUUCCUAUUCUUUCCAUACUUUGCUCUUCGUAUGUGCUUCUUUGAUGUGUUUGUGUUCUCCUGUACGUUUGCCCUGAUCAUCUUGUGUUAAAACGUGUGGUGUGGUACUAGAUGUUUUGCUCUAACAAUUCUACUCAUGAACUAAAGGUUUAUUCUUUCUGAACUUGAGUAUGUUAUUGAGUUUAUGCGUGCAUGUGCUUUUUCUAGGUUUAAUAGGGUUACUGAAUUGAAAAACCUUGCUAAUUUUCUGCCCUAGUUUCCCUCGGAUCAAGCGACCUGUUUUACCUAUCUGAGAUGACUUCUUACAGCCCUCAAUAUCCCUGGGCCCCAAUGAACCUAAAAAGAGAAUAUAAUGGCCUUGGAACCGAAAAAAGGAUACAAGAUUUUAGGAGUAGGCAGGCUCUUUGUAGGAAUGACGAGAAGGAUGUCAUUGUUGGUUCUUGCGAGCUAGACGAACCAGUGUGUAGGGAUAGAACUUUCCCUCUUCCACAGAGGUUUACUUUUGUGUAUGUAACACUCUUUGAGAGACUUGGCGUUAGUCUCCCGUUUAAUGACUUUAAGAAGGAAAUCCUAACCUUACUUAAUGUAGCUCCAGCCCAAUUACAUCCCAAUAGUUGGGCCUUUGUUCGAGCUUUCCACAUAUUAUGUGUCAGUUUAGGCUUGAAUCCUACCCCUAAGGUGUUUUUCUAUUUCUUCGAGCUAAAGAGUAUAUCCUCCAAACAGUUGUGGGCUUCUCUAAGUGGUGUUAGUGGUCGGGGUUUGUUCACCCUAUUCCAAUCCUCUUAUAAAGGAUUUAAAGGUAUUUUCAUAAAGAUUCUUGCUCCUAGCCAUAACCCAACCUUGCUGGAUGGCUUCCCUUUAUAUUGGACCAUAUUUCCUACUCUCCAGACUGCUCGGCAAAUGGAAGACUUGAACCUUGUCGAGAGGAAAAGCUGUGAAACACUGGAAGGUUUAGAAGUUAUCUUCGACAUUCGUAAGAUCUAAGAGCUCGAGUGUCGGAAGGUAGACUUAAAAUUAUUCAUUGUCAGAUGGCCCUUUCUCAAAGAGACUUGCUUCGUCGGAUAAAACAACAAGGAUCAGGCAAAGCCGGCACUAGUGCUCGGACUCGACCUUCUCCCAUCAAAGUGAUCAUGGAGAGUGAUCCCGAGACCACCCAAAGUGACCCCAAGGCAAAGCGUAAGAGAGUUGAAUCUAAAGAAGGUGCUCCUACCCAAUCGGAGACUUCAGAAUCUCGUGACCGACCUCCCUCAACUGAAGUCGUCUUACCUGGGCGACCUCUUCCCUUAGCUCCUAACAAGAGUUUUUGGGGUGAGGGUUUUGACCAUGCUAAUCAAAACUGAUCUUGCAAACAUGGAAGAAAUUCGUAGAUCUUUAAAGGAUAAGGAGAUUAAGGUCAUUAACCUCAAAGCUGAGCUUGACGCCUUGAAACCAACAGCAGAAUCCAAUGAGGCUUUGGUGAAAGACUUGACCACAAAAUGUCAAGUGUUGGAAAAUGAGAAAGAAGAAUUUGUCGACCAAUUGUGUGCCACUUUGAAACAAGGAUUCCAGCUUGCUCUCGACCAAAUUAAAGUUUUGUAUCGUAACCUAGACGUUUCUAAAGUUGAUAUCACAAAGGAGGUCGUAGAGGGGCAACUGGUAAACAUUCCUGAUGUGUAAUGCUUUCCUUUUUGGUUUAUAGGGAAAAGUUAGGGUGACUUGGUUAAUUUGCAUAAGGUCUUUUUGGUUUUAUGUCUAUGGGAUAUUGAGACGUUCUAUGAGUUUUGUGUUUUAUCUUA